CAGCGGCUGGUUAACAUCCUCACGAAGUGCUGUCAAACAUCACUGUACAAAACUGUAGGUUGUACUUGUGUACCUGUAGACUCCAGUGUAACGAACUGCAAACAUUUCCAGUCUUCCAGUUUUCCUUUCCACCCCUCAUCUCUUCCCACUUGUUGAUAUGCCUUACCUUUCAUUAUUGAACUAGUACAUGAGAUAUUUAGUCAGUAUUUUCUCCUUCUCCAAUGAUUUCCCUGCCUGAUAACCACUUCCCUUGAUCCAGAAGCAUCUUCUGUGCUCUGUUAACCCCAUGGUGUAUUUUUCUAGGCUUCACACUUAAGGUCAAGUCCUACUUCAGACAGCAAAAAGCCAGAAGAAAAUCCUCCAGAGGGACCUGGUAUGAUCUUUUUAUGAAGAUAGCCCUGUGACAUAAUUCUGGACACUGAGACAUGAACUGAAUUCUCCUAGAGGCUUCUGGGAAACUUUCUGCUUCACCGAUACAGAGAAUGGAGAUUAUACAAGCAUCUCCACCUCAUGGGGUUAUAUGAAGAUUAAAUGAAAGAAUACACAUAAGUACCCAGCCCAGUCCUUGAAACCUGGUAAGACGG
Long non-coding RNA from Felis catus (domestic cat), 584 nucleotides. RefSeq lists it as uncharacterized. The record is from RefSeq and is a predicted model, not a curated record. NCBI's taxonomy places the organism in Eukaryota, Metazoa, Chordata, Mammalia, Carnivora, Felidae. The transcript has 3 exons.